GGGAAUUGUUCAGUAAUUGUGCCUCACCGUUAAAGAAGCCUCGCUGGUUUCUGCACAGCUGGAUCGCAAUAUCUUAAUGGGAGACAAGGUCAGGGAUUCUUUGUUUAGAUACUCCACAGAGGACAAAAACAGAAGACAAAUUGUGGUGAAACAAAAAGACAGACGUUGCUGAUUGCAGUAUGGGGGUAAUUGGAUCACAAAAAGGGAAUCAGUCAAGGUGUUUGCACCGGAGAAGUUCCCUGAGGAUGUCUACAAAUUGAACAAUUGUGUGGAAGGCAUUUCUGGGAUAAACAAUCCACUGAAAUGUCACCAGAUUCCAUGGAGUCCAAGAGAGCUGUGUGCCGUCAAGCUGGAGGGACAGUCGCAUUGUCAUCAGCCAUUAGGCAGAAUUUCAUGUCUUAUUAUGGUGUGACAACGAUGUAUAAGACCAGCUUUAAAAAUAUCAUUCUCAAAUGGUGGGCAAUGAGACAUUUCAUAUUGAUGCUAUAAAAGGAACAUCACAACACUGCCUAAUUCCCUAAAUCCAUAAAUAAAAUGAAGAUACACUUUUGUGCAAACUGCAGUGGUGAUUAUGUUGUCUAAAUGAUGUCAAGGCAAGUCCUCUUUCAUUCUUUGUUAUGAUUAUUUUUUUUCAUUUAUUUAUUUCUUUUGCAGAAAAAUAUUCUUAAGCUGAAGCCUGUAAAUAAAUAAAAAAAUCAACCUUUAAGCAACUAUUUAGCAGGACACAAAAAUGCUUCUUUUUUUUGAAUCCCUUGUGUCACACAUACUGGCAUCCUUACAUUUGACACUUUGAACAACUCCAAGUUGCCAAAAGGAAAGCACUUACUCAUGUCCUCUAACAUUUCACAGUGUUUUUAGUUACAGAGAGAAGGAUCUUUGACCAUUCCUUUUUGCACAUUUUGCAAAAAUCACCCAGAGUUAGUUUUUUUACUCACGCACUCCUUUCUUCUGUUCACCUCACUGAUUUUUAAAAGGAUUAAGGUCUGUGGACUUAGAUGACCCCAGAAGAUGUUUUUAUGUUGUUUUUUUGUUUUAUUUUAGGAAACUUUUCUGAUUAAAAAUGUCUAAGAGGUUUAAGGAUAAGAUACUUUAUUGUCAUUAUGUUGUUCAAUGAACUUGUGAUGCAGAGAAACUCCACAUGAAAAGAAUAUUAACAAUCAAAUGCAAAAUGUCAUUUCAAUUGGUCACUCUAGAAACUAGGAAAUAAAAUAGAAUAAUCCAUUCAAGUAAGGUAGAUUAAGGUUCAAUAAUGUUUUAUAGCAUAGAUUUUUUUUCUUUGUUUUGUCUUUUUUUUUAUUUUGUGUGGCACUAAUGGGAAAAAAGUACUGGUCGCCUGUGGUACAUACAGAAUGUUACAAAUAGAAACUAAUGGUAACAUUGAUGGUGCUUACUUGACUGUCUAGGAAAGUUCUCUGCAUUUAUGAAGACAUAAAUUCCAGUGAUAAAUAUUUUGUAUUUGUAAAUCAGACUGCAACGUUGU
Long non-coding RNA from Xiphophorus maculatus (southern platyfish), 1480 nucleotides. RefSeq lists it as uncharacterized. The transcript has 3 exons. The record is from RefSeq and is a predicted model, not a curated record. NCBI's taxonomy places the organism in Eukaryota, Metazoa, Chordata, Actinopteri, Cyprinodontiformes, Poeciliidae.